Long non-coding RNA from Suricata suricatta (meerkat), 1352 nucleotides. RefSeq lists it as uncharacterized. NCBI's taxonomy places the organism in Eukaryota, Metazoa, Chordata, Mammalia, Carnivora, Herpestidae. The transcript has 3 exons. The record is from RefSeq and is a predicted model, not a curated record.
GGGAUGCAGUGUGUCUGCCACAGCUGGGGAUGCAGUGUGUCCCAGGGUGGCUCGCCUGGACUGUGGAGCUGGGAAACUAUGAAUGAACCGAGUCCCACGCACUUGCUGGCUGAGUCACGCGUGCACACGGCAAAGUUUGUACAACCAGCGUGUUUCAGAUCCAAGUCAUCUAACCUCUGUUCUUUCUCUCUGAAAAGCUAGAUGACCCAUACAGAUGGCAUAAGCAACGUCUCCUUUCUCCACUGGGCCAUCUCCCGGCCAUUUACAAGGACCUUUUGUGCGCCAGGCACGGCGUGGGGGAUGUAGAUGGAUAAUGCACUUCCCCAGUUCCUGUCUUCACUUCAUCAGCUACAGCAGACACCAGUGAACAUUCCCGAGGGCCCGGCGGGCUCCAGAGAGUGCACCAGACCGGUUGUGGGGGCCACAGGGGCUGGCGGUAAUACCGUGCCCGCUGACAAAGGGAGACCCAAGCCGGAGAGGAUAAACAGCUCCCUCUGUCCCCUCGGUCGCUGACUAACCGGACAGAGAGGAGCUGUCCAGCCGGCCGCCACCACGGUGUAGGGCGGGCACUGCCAACAGACGGCCGUCCCCGGAGCCGGCUGCAGGAGAGCUGUGCCCGCCAGGCCGCUGCUCUGUGCCUCCCACACCCCUAGCCUGCGGCCCCAGGAAGCAGAGGUUUGGGACCACAAACAAAAAUGUACAGGAGGCUUGACCGGACCCUCUAUUUCUUCGUUCUUUCUUUUUCUCUCUCUUCCCCAGCAAAGCCGGCAAUUGAGAACUCCACAUCAGAUUCCUGUGGCUAAGAGGGGCCUCUUGAGGUCAUCAACACUGUUCUCCCACAUGAAGACAAGCCUCUCCUGAAGUUGUCACGGAAGGCAGGCCACGGUCCUUAUUAAAGGGAUCUGAUGGAGAGGUCGCCGGCCUUCCUUGUUGCUGCCAGAGCAGUGUGCAUCCUUCUGAAGCAUGGCACUCAUUACAUUUGACUUUCCUACUUUAUUCCAAUAUCUGUGUCCCACUCAUGACCGUGAGCUCUCAAGACUUCCCUGUAUCUUCAGGACUUGGCAUACUGCCUGGUCCAGACGGGCCACUUAGUAAAUGUGGGUUAUGUGUGGGCAGAUGCAUGCUCCAUCUUGGCCAAAAGGCCGAGAAGUGAUUCAUUCUGCAGAUGUAAAAAGUGAAACUCCCAACACAGGUUGCCCUGUCCAAGGUCACAGUGAGGGUAAGCCAAUCCACAAUAACACCUUUGGCUUUUGGCCACCUCAACCCAAAAGAAUAAAUGGCAAUCCAACUGGCUAUCAGAACCAGAACGAUGCUCAGAUCCCUGACUUGUACACAGAGAGGCACGGCCUCUU